RNAcentral lists this ribosomal RNA (506 nucleotides) under uncultured bacterium. RNAcentral describes it as "bacterial SSU rRNA". It matches the Rfam family "Bacterial small subunit ribosomal RNA", at positions 28 to 524 of the family's 1533-position model. The record is from RNAcentral.
GACGAACGCUGGCGGCGUGGAUUAGGCAUGCAAGUCGAACGGUAUCAUCCUUUCGGGGGUGAGAGAGUGGCGAACUGGUGAGUAACACGUAGGUUAUCUACCCUCAAGACGGGGACAACCCAGGGAACUUGGGCUAAUACCGGAUGUGAGCAACUUUUAGUUGUUUGAAAGGUGGCGUAAGCUGUCGCUUGGGGAUGAGCCUGCGUCCUAUUAGUUAGUUGGUGAGGUAACGGCUCACCUAGGCAAUGAUAGGUAGGCGGCCUUAACGGGUGGUCGCCCACACUGGGAUUGGAGAUACGGCCCAGACUCCUACGGGAGGCAGCAGUCGAGAAUAGUCUACAAUGGUCGGAAGACUGAUAGUGCGACGCCGCGUGAACGAUGAAUCCCUUCGGGGUGUAAAGUUCUUUUAUAUGUGAGCAGUGCUUCUUAUAUUAACAGUAUGGGGAAGAGAUAUUAGCAUAUGAAUAAGCAAACGGCUAAACUCCGUGCCCAGCAGCCGCGGUAAA